This 667-nucleotide ribosomal RNA is filed under the name Mucor mucedo. RNAcentral's name for it is "eukaryotic LSU rRNA". It matches the Rfam family "Eukaryotic large subunit ribosomal RNA", at positions 43 to 615 of the family's 3401-position model. The record is from RNAcentral. Lineage: Eukaryota; Fungi; Mucoromycota; Mucoromycetes; Mucorales; Mucoraceae.
UUACCGUGCGGAGGAAAAGAAAAUAACAAUGAUUUCCCUAGUAACGGCGAGUGAAGAGGAAAGAGCUCAAAGUUGGAACCUGUUUGGCUUAGCCAAACCGGAUUGUAAACUGUAGAAGUGUUUUCCUGACACGCCUGGUAAAAAAGUCCUUUGGAACAGGGCAUCAUAGAGGGUGAGAAUCCCGUCUUUGGCCAGAGCUGUUGUCUUUUGCGAUACAUUUUCAAAGAGUCAGGUUGUUUGGGAAUGCAGCCUAAAUUGGGUGGUAAAUCUCACCUAAAGCUAAAUAUUUGCGAGAGACCGAUAGCGAACAAGUACCGUGAGGGAAAGAUGAAAAGAACUUUGAAAAGAGAGUUAAACAGUAUGUGAAAUUGUUAAAAGGGAACCGUUUGGAGCCAGACUGGCUUGAUCGUAAUCAAUCUAAGCUUCGGCUUGGAUGCACUUGCGGUCUUUGCCUGCCAACGACAAUUUUUUCUGGGGGAAAAAACUAAUGGAAACGUAGCCCAUCUCGGUGGGUGUUAUAGUCCGUUAGAAAAUACCCUGGAUUGGAUUGAGGAACGCAGUGAAUGCUCUUUAGGGCAAGAUUGCUGGGUGCUUUCGCUAAUACAUGCUAAAAUUUCUGCUUCGGGUGGUGUUAGUGUGUAAAGGAGGAACUCGCCUAGUAUAUUUU